Molecule: long non-coding RNA, 402 nt
Filed under: Actinidia chinensis (golden kiwifruit)
Lineage: Eukaryota; Viridiplantae; Streptophyta; Magnoliopsida; Ericales; Actinidiaceae
Description: long non-coding RNA (ACHI_LNC003248)
Source: RNAcentral
AGCAAUUUUAGUGGUUUUAACAACAGUAACCCAAAAAAUGCCUUGUGUGACGGGCAUUAAGAGAGAGGAAGAGGAACAAGUACCCAUUUUUAAUCUGCAAUCAAUACAAACAGUUAUCGGCAACCUCAUCCUUCAAUUCCAUUAAAAAUCAAUUCAAAAGCAUAAUAUAUUGGUCGCAAGUGAAAGAGAUGUUUUACCACAACCAAGAAGCUAUGUCCUGUAGGCUUUUUUCCUCACACUUCCAUGUGGGUGGGGUAUUUAUGUAGGUGGGUCUAGCACCAUCUCCAUGGGCAUGUGAUUGUUGGUUGAGAGAGAGAGAGAGAGAGAGGAUGGUGGAUUUCUGCCGUGGGAAAUGGCAGAGAAACCAUUCCAUCCCUCACUCCUUCAACCGCUAAGCCCAAG